This 230-nucleotide long non-coding RNA is filed under the name Fragaria vesca (wild strawberry). RNAcentral's name for it is "long non-coding RNA (FVES_LNC000998)". Lineage: Eukaryota; Viridiplantae; Streptophyta; Magnoliopsida; Rosales; Rosaceae. The record is from RNAcentral.
UAAAUUUUACUUUUGUAAGUCUCACGAAAUUCGAUUGUCUAUAACUUUCCGUGGACAUUUAUAUACCAUACAUACACAUAACACACAUUUGUUGACAUUUUCCAGCAAUUGCGAAAGUUUUAUUGGCAGGAACGUAACUUAACAGGCUUGACAGGAACGCAACUUAACAGGCUUGACAGGAACGCCUUAACCAAACCGCAUAUUCAUUUGUGGCGUGCGCUUCUGAUAAC